AUGGCGUUGCGAGCUAUGCGGGGAAUCGUGAACCGGGCCGCGCCCGAGCUGCCUGUGCCCACCGGUGGACCGAUGGCCGGAGCUCGGGAGCAGGCGCUGGCAGUGAGCCGAAACUACCUCUCCCAACCUCAUCUCACCUACAAGACUGUCUCAGGAGUGACCGGCCCACUAGUAAUCUUAGAUUACGUGAAGUUUCCCAGAUAUGCUGAGAUUGUCCACUUGACCUUACCGGAUGGCACAAAAAGAAGUGGGCAAGUUCUAAAAGUUAGUGGCUCCAAAGCAGUGGUUCAGGUAUUUGAAGGGACAUCAGGUAUAGAUGGCAAGAAAACAUCCUGUGAGUUUACUGGGGAUAUUCUCCAGACACCAGUGUCAGAGGAUAUGCUUGGUCGGGUAUUCAAUGGAUCAGGAAAACCCAUUGACCGAGGUCCUGUGGUGCUGGCUGAAGACUUCCUUGACAUCAUGGGUCAGCCAAUCAACCCUCAGUGUCGGAUCUACCCAGAGGAGAUGAUUCAGACGGGCAUUUCUGCCAUUGAUGGCAUGAAUAGUAUUGCUAGGGGACAGAAAAUUCCCAUUUUUUUCUGCUGCUGGAUUGCCGCGCAAUGAGAUUGCUGCUCAGAUCUGUCGCCAGGCUGGUUUGGUAAAGAAAUCCAAAGAUGUAGUGGACUACAGUGAAGAAAAUUUUGCCAUUGUGUUCGCUGCUAUGGGGGUAAACAAGGAAACAGCCCGGUUCUUCAAAUCUGACUUUGAAGAAAAUGGCUCAAUAGACAAUGUCUGCCUCUUUUUGAACUUAGCUAACGACCCAACCAUCGAGAGAAUCAUCACUCCCCGCCUGGCUCUGACCACCGCUGAGUUUCUGGCUGACCAGUGUGAGAAGCAUGUCCUGGUCAUUCUGACAGAUAGGAGCUCUUACGCUGAACCGCUUCGAGAGGUUUCAGCAGCCACGGAAGAGGUUCCUGAUCGGCGAGGUUUCCCAGGCUACAGGUACACCGACUUAGCCACGAUCUAUGAACAUGCUGGGAGAGUGGAAGGUAGAAAUGGCUCCAUUACUCAAAUCCCUAUUCUCACCAUGCCCAAUGAUGAUAUCACUCAUCCCAUCCCUGACUUGACUGGGUAUAUUACUGAGGGGCAGAUCUAUGUGGACAGGCAGCUGUACAACAGACAGAUUUACCCACCUAUCAUGUGCUGCCCUCGUUUUCUCGGUUGAUGAAAUCGGCUAUUGGAGAAGGGAUGACCAGAAAGGACCAUGCUGGCGUCUCUAACCAGCUGUAUGCAUGCUACGCUAUUGGCAAGGAUGUGCAAGCCACGAAAGCUGCGGUGGGAGAAGAAGCGCUGACCUCAGAUGACCUUCUUUACUUGGAAUUUCUGCAGAAAUUUGACAAAAACUUCAUUUCUCAGGGUCCCCAUGAAAACCGCACCGUCUAUGAGACUUUGGACAUUGGCUGGCAGUUGCUUUGAAUCUUCCCCAAAGAAAUGCUGAGGAGAAUCCCUCAGAGCACCCUGAGCGAAUUUUACCCUCGAGAUUCUGCAAAGCACUAGCUACUGCUGCUCGUGUGGCCUCAUUGGCGUGACCCUCUUGUGAAGUACUGGUUCUGUUUCCUGAUUCCUUUUGCACUCCUCUGCCCCCACCUUGUGCGGGAAUUUACUUACCUGUUACUCU
This is a non-coding RNA of Myodes glareolus (Bank vole), 1657 nucleotides long. The record is from RefSeq and is a predicted model, not a curated record. NCBI's taxonomy places the organism in Eukaryota, Metazoa, Chordata, Mammalia, Rodentia, Cricetidae.